This 472-nucleotide ribosomal RNA is filed under the name uncultured bacterium. Its description in RNAcentral is "partial 16S ribosomal RNA". It matches the Rfam family "Bacterial small subunit ribosomal RNA", at positions 28 to 507 of the family's 1533-position model. The record is from RNAcentral.
GACGAACGCUGGCGGCGUGCUUAACACAUGCAAGUCGAACGAUGAACCCGGAGCUUGCUCUGGGGGAUUAGUGGCGAACGGGUGAGUAACACGUGAGUAACCUGCCCUGGACUCUGGGAUAAGCGUUGGAAACGACGUCCAAUACCGGAUAGGACCUUGGAUCGCAUGAUCUGGGGUGGAAAGUUUUUUCGGUCUGGGAUGGACUCGCGGCCUAUCAGCUUGUUGGUGAGGUAAUGGCUCACCAAGGCGUCGACGGGUAGCCGGCCUGAGAGGGUGACCGGCCACACUGGGACUGAGACACGGCCCAGACUCCUACGGGAGGCAGCAGUGGGGAAUAUUGCACAAUGGGCGAAAGCCUGAUGCAGCAACGCCGCGUGCGGGAUGACGGCCUUCGGGUUGUAAACCGCUUUUAGUAGGGAAGAAGGGCUUCGGCUUGACGGUACCUGCAGAAAAAGGACCGGCUAACUACGUG